CUCCUCUUGAGAAAAAUAAGAGGUAUGAUCUGCUCCAUGCGUAAGUAAAUUGCCGCAGUAUCUUGACUGUGCUAAGGUAGCAAAAUAAUUUGGCUUUUAAUUGGAGUCUGGAAUGAAUGAUUUGACAAAGUCUAAUCUGUCUCGUUUAUUUUUCUUGAAAUUAGAGUUUUUGUAAAAAUACAGAAAUAAGAGAGAGGGACGAAAAGACCCUAUAGAUCUUUACUCUUCUUGGAAAAAUUACUUUUGCUAGGCUGAGUUUUCUUGGGGCAAGACUAAAAAUUGAAUUUUGGUUGGAGGAAAAGACUGAUUAGUCGAAAAGAUGAAAAAUAAUAAGAUAAGUUACCUUAGGGAUAACAGGAUGAUUCUUUUACUCAGAACUUAUAAGGAAAAGAGUUUAUCACCUCGAUGUUGAAUUAAGUUUUCUUUUGUUCGUAGAAGGGCACGGAGUUAGUCUGUUCGACUAUUAAAAACUU
RNAcentral lists this ribosomal RNA (473 nucleotides) under Priceiella sichuanensis. RNAcentral's name for it is "partial large subunit ribosomal RNA". It matches the Rfam family "Bacterial large subunit ribosomal RNA", at positions 1829 to 2597 of the family's 2925-position model. Lineage: Eukaryota; Metazoa; Arthropoda; Insecta; Psocodea; Philopteridae. The record is from RNAcentral.